AGCUAAGAUGAUACAACAUAUUUGACACUUUUGAGUCCUUGUGUAAUUCCUAACAUCUGUGGAGGGUAUGUGUGAAGAAACUCUAGAGUGUCAAAUAUGUUGUAUCAUCUUAGCUUGUGGGCAAAACAUUUGUAGACAUAUAAGGUGACAUGCAUCCUUGGACCUGUAACAGGCAAGUAGGAAUUUGGAUGAACCCCUGUAAAAGAAGAUCAACCUUUUCCAGAAUGUUUGGUGGAACAGGUGUGAUCAUGUAGAGCAAACCUUUGGAAGUGUCAAUUCCUCUCACAAUUCCAAGGCCAACACACCAAGGUAAAUCUGCCAACUGUUCAGAACCAACUGCCAAACCAACAAUGCUUGCAUUCAAACUGUAGAAGAUUUCAGUGCUAAGGACCUGGCAAUGGAGAUGUCUGAUCUUGACACUUGAUAUUGGAACU
Molecule: unclassified non-coding RNA, 434 nt
Filed under: Hevea brasiliensis (rubber tree)
Lineage: Eukaryota; Viridiplantae; Streptophyta; Magnoliopsida; Malpighiales; Euphorbiaceae
Source: RNAcentral